Herpailurus yagouaroundi (jaguarundi) is the source of this 1364-nucleotide long non-coding RNA. RefSeq lists it as uncharacterized. Lineage: Eukaryota; Metazoa; Chordata; Mammalia; Carnivora; Felidae. The transcript has 3 exons. The record is from RefSeq and is a predicted model, not a curated record.
AAGUCGGACACUUAACCGACUGAGCCACCCAGGCGCCCCUCAGGAUGCAUGACAAUCAAGUGUGCUCUUCAAUCCCCUUCAAGUUUUGGACCUGUUGUGUAAUUCCUACAGCACAUAAUCAAAGUGCUAUUUGAUCUAACUGGUUUGGGGUCUAUAUACAAUGAUCCCCUUGGAGGAGUCCCCAGAUGUUUUCCAGAUCAUUUAUUCCAUUGAUUCAGUACAAUUUAUUGGGUGUGUGUGUGUGCCAGGUACUAGUUAUGCAAUGAUGACUAAGAUAGUCCCUAUUCUCUGUCAGCUUCUUAUAGUAAAGUCUGUGAACUGACCACACAGAUGACCUGCAGAAGUCUGCUGCAGAUUCUCCUGCCCUAUUCCAGACCUCCUGAACCCAAAUCUCAGAGGCAAGGGAUUCUGCGCUUUGAAGAUGUUCCCUAGAUCCUUUCAUUCAGGAGGCAUCUCCCUGGAGACGGAGGAAAUGGUAGGAGUCCCCUGGGGUGCUGUCAGCUCCACUUGCUGAACUUCUGGAGAAAGAGUGAAAUACUAGGUAAAGGAAAUGCCUCCAGCCUGCUCCUAGGGAGAGGCAGGACUGGGAGGAGUGGGGAGGUGAGAGGGACCCUUGACCUGAAUAAGUUGGAGACGUUUCCAAGUGUGGCUCCCUUCCCACUCUCAACCUCCCAGCACUAGUGCCCCUGACAGGAAGGAAAACUGCCUUGUCCUGUGGCCCCUUUCAGUUCUAGUACAGCUAGAAGGAUAUUCCCCACAUUUGUGCUCUUACCUUCUUUACUUCUAGGCAAACCCCAAAGCCCCCAGCCUCAAAGAAGGGCCGUUCCUGGGGCAGUGCUGACAAGUCCAGGUUAGAGGGACUUGGGAAGUCUCAGAUCAGAGGCUGGCACUCUUAUCAACCACCCUACCCAACCCUUGUGUCCAGGCUCCUCCUUGAAGGCCUGCCUAUCAGAGGUUUAUUCCUGACCAGGGCCACUAGGACAGAGGAAGUUUGUGGGGUUGGACCACCACACCAUACAUCUUCACCAGCCUUCUUUGCUACUCUUUCACUGCAAAUGUAAAAUAAUCCAUUGGCAGUAUCGCUUCUGUGGUCCCACUUAAAUCAUUGUUUCUGGGACUGUGUUGAAAACAAAAUCCUGACAAACAAAUGUUUAGAACACAGACUCUUUGAAGAAUGGUGUCUUGUACCCAUUUACUACCACAAGCAUUUCUUAUGUAUCUUACACCAGUCUGGGAAAUGCUCUGUCUGUGCUUUCAUAAAUUGGGCCGUUGCUGCUGGUGCUCCAGGAUGGUUUUAGGUUGUACACUAACAGGGCAGCAAAUGCCAUUGACUUAUCAUGAAAAUAUUACCACCAUUCUAAUUA